This 389-nucleotide ribosomal RNA is filed under the name uncultured bacterium. RNAcentral describes it as "bacterial SSU rRNA". It matches the Rfam family "Bacterial small subunit ribosomal RNA", at positions 29 to 424 of the family's 1533-position model. The record is from RNAcentral.
AUUGAACGCUGGCGGCAUGCCUUACACAUGCAAGUCGAGCGGCAGCGCGGGGGCAACCCUGGCGGCGAGCGGCGGACGGGUGAGUAAUACAUCGGAACGUGUCCUGUUGUGGGGGAUAACCAGUCGAAAGACUGGCUAAUACCGCAUGAGAUCGAAAGAUGAAAGCGGGGGACCGCAAGGCCUCGCGCGAUUGGAGCGGCCGAUGCCGGAUUAGCUAGUGGCGGGGUAAAGCCCACCAAGGCUACGACCCGUAGCUGGUUUGAGAGAACGACCAGCCACACUGGGACUGAGACACGGCCCAGACUCCUACGGGAGGCAGCAGUGGGGAAUUUUGGACAAUGGGCGCAAGCCUGAUCCAGCCAUGCCGCGUGUGUGAAGAAGGCCUGGUU